This 507-nucleotide ribosomal RNA is filed under the name uncultured bacterium. RNAcentral describes it as "bacterial SSU rRNA". It matches the Rfam family "Bacterial small subunit ribosomal RNA", at positions 29 to 518 of the family's 1533-position model. The record is from RNAcentral.
AUGAACGCUGGCGGCGUGCCUAACACAUGCAAGUCGAACGGAGAUAAGACGCUGACGAGACUUCGGUCAAAUCUUGUUUAUCUUAGUGGCGGACGGGUGAGUAACGCGUGGGCAACCUGCCUCAUACUGGGGGAUAGCAGUUGGAAACGACUGAUAAUACCGCAUAAGCGCACGGAGUCGCAUGACUCAGUGUGAAAAACUCCGGUGGUAUGAGAUGGGCCCGCGUCAGAUUAGCCAGUUGGCAGGGUAACGGCCUACCAAAGCGACGAUCUGUAGCCGGCCUGAGAGGGCGGACGGCCACAUUGGGACUGAGACACGGCCCAAACUCCUACGGGAGGCAGCAGUGGGGGAUAUUGCACAAUGGAGGAAACUCUGAUGCAGCGACGCCGCGUGAAGUGAAGAAGUAUUUCGGUAUGUAAAGCUCUAUCAGCAGGGAAGAAAGGCUCCGCAAGGAGAGAUGACGGUACCUGACUAAGAAGCCCCGGCUAACUACGUGCCAGCCGCAGC